Long non-coding RNA from Eriocheir sinensis (Chinese mitten crab), 1304 nucleotides. RefSeq lists it as uncharacterized. NCBI's taxonomy places the organism in Eukaryota, Metazoa, Arthropoda, Malacostraca, Decapoda, Varunidae. The transcript has 2 exons. The record is from RefSeq and is a predicted model, not a curated record.
UUUUUACUCUCCAAAGCUCUCAUCUUAAAAUACGUUGUCCAUUCAAAGUACAUAAUGUAGCGUGUGAGGUGUCUUGGCUAAUGUGAAGGAAACUAAAUGUCAUGUGUUUUUAGUCACAGUGUAAAAGAAGGCUUUUUUUUUUACUCUCCAAAGCUCACAUCUUGAAAUACGUUGUCCAUUCAAAGUACGUAAUGCAGCGUGUGAGGUGGCUUGUCUAGUGUGAAGGUAGCUAAAUGUCAUGUGUUUUUAGUCACUGUGUAAAAGAAGGCAAUUUUUUUACUCUCCAAAGCUCACAUCUUGAAAUACGUCAUCCAUUCAAAGUUAAUGUAGUGCUAAUGUAAAUGUAGCUAAAUGUCAAGUGUUUUUAGUUACAGUGUAAAGGAAGGCAAUGUAUUUUACUCUCUCUGAAGCUUCCGUCUAUAAACUGCCGUCCAUUCAGAGCAGAGAAGCGUGUAGUGUGUGAGGUACCUUUCUUGGGUCAUGUAAAGCCCCGUUCACACUGUGCCGACUCUGGGCCACAACUAUCCAUGACUCUAGGGUACACGAGGUCUUGGGUGUUGAUGUGAAAGGGUCGGGCAUGUCUUGAAAGAGGUCUUGAGACUGUUGCCGAAUGCUGCGCCGACAUGCUGGCAACUAGUCGGCAAAACACCAAGACCCCAAUAAAACCUCCCCCCCCUUCUUGGAGUGUGGGAACCAACUUGUCAAAUGGAAAACUCGCUCGGUUGUCGUGGCCCAGAGUCGGCACAGUGUGAACGGGGCAUUAAGGUCGCUAAGUUAAUGCAUAUCUGUUGAGGUCACAGCAAAAAUAAAAGGGCUUAAGAAUCUAACACCUCCUUCAUGUACAUCAUCAUUAUCAUCAUCAUCAUCACCAUUUGCAAUCUUCUGAAGGAACGCUCCCUUCACUAACUUAUCGCUAGACAUUUACAACACACCAUCGUCAUCACCAUCAUUAUCAUCGUCACCACUUGCAUGUCUCCUGAUGGAACACUUAACACUCCCUUCACUAACUUAUCACUAGACACUUACAAUACAUCAUCACCAUCAUCACUGUCAUCAUCACCACUUGCAUAUCCCCUGAAGCAACACUAACACUCCCUUCACGGACUUAUCACUAAACGCUUACAACACAUCACCACCAUCAUCAUCACCACUAGCAACACCAACAACACCGCCACCACAACACCAACACCUCGGACAACACAACACACCAGAAACCGUCCCCUGCCAGGAAAACAAAAUGUGUUGACUGACUGACUGACUGACUGACCCGUCCCUUGUCUGUUAAUUUUCCUUGAUUUCAUGAA